UGCAGCUAAUAUAAACAAAUAAAGAGAUGAUGUGAAAAAAAUCUUUAAAAUACUGUGUGGUACACGCUCUCACGAUAAUUAAGAAUCAUUACAGCAGUAGUGCAGUAGGCCACAGAUCUAAGAUUUCAGCUAUAAAAGUCAUUUCCUAGUUCUCUUCAUAUGUUACAAGGACUCAUAAAAUUUUUCAGAACAUACAUUCCUUCAUCCAAACCUGGAUUUAAGUUUUACAGAGUCUGUUUUAUGGACUGUGGCAGCAGUCAGGGCCUGUGAGUGGUUGGCAACCUGUGCUCAAGCCAGCCCUGGGAGCAGCCAAGGCACUGGCCCUUUGUGUUGGCACUGUGCCCCUGCCCUUACUCCUGCCCACACAGCCGUGUGCCUUGCUGGCAUGACACUGUCAUGGUUGCCCGAUGUCACACUGGGCAUCUUUGCGCGCUGGGCCCUGUCCCUAGGCAUGCUGGGGCGCUUGGCCUGCACCCCUCUUGGCAUGGCUCCCCUGUGGGCCUUGCUCCUGCUAAUCACUGAACAGUGACAGUUCUCCCUCCUCUCUCCCUCCUGCCCUCAGACAAGCAGCUAUCUACUUUCUGAAGCUGAAGAAAUAAGUUGAGGAAGAAACAGAAGAGGCCAGCAUUUCACCCUUAUGGGACUGUCUUCAUCAAGGACAGCAAAAAGAAGAAAGCAUGCUGAUAUAUUUGCAUCAAAAAUACAUCUAACAAAUUGGAGGAAAGAAGCAGUGUAUGCUCACCAGGCGGAUCAUCUGUGUAUCUUACUCAGCCAGUUUCCUGCCGUUGGAUAUCAAUUGUCCACUAGGUAUUUUCUUUUUCUAUUCUCACUGUCAGUGUGUUUUGGAGGGUUUCUUGAAGAUUCAGAAAUUUUAAUAAUUAGGCUUGAUGUUUGUUAGAAGGGA
RNAcentral lists this long non-coding RNA (904 nucleotides) under Anser brachyrhynchus (Pink-footed goose). RNAcentral's name for it is "lncRNA (ENSABRG00000011333.1)". The record is from RNAcentral. Lineage: Eukaryota; Metazoa; Chordata; Aves; Anseriformes; Anatidae.